RNAcentral lists this ribosomal RNA (497 nucleotides) under uncultured bacterium. RNAcentral's name for it is "partial 16S ribosomal RNA". It matches the Rfam family "Bacterial small subunit ribosomal RNA", at positions 28 to 507 of the family's 1533-position model. The record is from RNAcentral.
GAUGAACGCUGGCGGCGUGCCUAAUACAUGCAAGUCGAGCGAACAGAUGAGGAGCUUGCUCCUCUGACGUUAGCGGCGGACGGGUGAGUAACACAUGGAUAACCUACCUAUAAGACUGGGAUAACUUCGGGAAACCGGAGCUAAUACCGGAUAAUAUAUUGAACCGCAUGGUUCAAUAGUGAAAGACGGUUUUGCUGUCACUUAUAGAUGGAUCCGCGCCGCAUUAGCUAGUUGGUAAGGUAACGGCUUACCAAGGCAACGAUGCGUAGCCGACCUGAGAGGGUGAUCGGCCACACUGGAACUGGGACACGGUCCAGACUCCUACGGGAGGCAGCAGUAGGGAAUCUUCCGCAAUGGGCGAAAGCCUGACGGAGCAACGCCGCGUGAGUGAUGAAGGUCUUCGGAUCGUAAAACUCUGUUAUUGGGGAAGAACAAAUGUGUAAGUAACUAUGCACGUCUUGACGGUACCUAAUCAGAAAGCCACGGCUAACUACGUG